Molecule: ribosomal RNA, 446 nt
Filed under: uncultured bacterium
Lineage: Bacteria
Description: partial 16S ribosomal RNA
Rfam family: Bacterial small subunit ribosomal RNA
Source: RNAcentral
GUCCAGACUCCUACGGGAGGCAGCAGUGGGGGAUAUUGCACAAUGGAGGAAACUCUGAUGCAGCGACGCCGCGUGAGGGAAGACGGUCUUCGGAUUGUAAACCUCUGUCUUUGGGGAAGAAAAUGACGGUACCUGACUAAGAAGCCCCGGCUAACUACGUGCCAGCAGCCGCGGUAAUACGUAGGGGGCAAGCGUUAUCCGGAUUUACUGGGUGUAAAGGGAGCGUAGACGGCAGUGCAAGUCCGGAGUGAAAGCCCGGGGCUCAACCCUGGGACUGCUCUGGAAACUGUAAAGCUGGAGUGCGGGAGGGGCAGGCGGAAUUCCUGGUGUAGCGGUGAAAUGCGUAGAUAUCAGGAGGAACACCGGCGGCGAAGGCGGCCUGCUGGACCGUAACUGACGUUGAGGCUCGAAAGCGUGGGGAGCAAACAGGAUUAGAUACCCCGGUA